UGGAAGUAAAAAGUCGUAACAAGGCUUCCGUAGGGUGAACCUGCGGAAGGAUCAUUAUUGAAAUAAACCUGAUAGGUUGUUGCUGGUUCUCUCGGGAGCAUGUGCACACUUGUCAUCUUUAUAUCUCCACCUGUGCACCUUUUGUAAAUCUGAAUAUCUUUCUGAAUGGCAUGCCAUUCAGGUUUUGAGGAUUGAUCUUUUUCUUUCCUUACAUUUUCAGGUUUAUGUUUUUCAUAUACCCCAAGUAUGUUAUAGAAUGUUAUAAACGGGCCUUUGUGCCUAUAAAUUUAUACAACUUUCAGCAACGGAUCUCUUGGCUCUCGCAUCGAUGAAGAACGCAGCGAAAUGCGAUAAGUAAUGUGAAUUGCAGAAUUCAGUGAAUCAUCGAAUCUUUGAACGCACCUUGCGCUCCUUGGUAUUCCGAGGAGCAUGCCUGUUUGAGUGUCAUUAAUAUAUCAACCUCUUCAGCUUUUUGCAUGUCGAGUGUUGGAUGUGGGGGUAUUUUUGCUGGACUCUAUAGAAUUCGAGGUCAGCUCCCCUAAAAUGCAUCAGCGAAACAAUUUGUUUACCGCUCAUUGGUGUGAUAACUAUCUACGCUAUUGACGGUGACGCAUGUUUAGCUUCUAACAGUCCAUUAACUUGGACAACCUUUAUUAAUGUGACCUCAAAUCAGGGUAGGACCUCCCCAU
This 689-nucleotide ribosomal RNA is filed under the name uncultured Cortinarius. Its description in RNAcentral is "eukaryotic LSU rRNA". The stretch from base 294 to 447 matches the Rfam family "5.8S ribosomal RNA". The record is from RNAcentral. Lineage: Eukaryota; Fungi; Basidiomycota; Agaricomycetes; Agaricales; Cortinariaceae.